RNAcentral lists this long non-coding RNA (552 nucleotides) under Equus caballus (horse). Its description in RNAcentral is "lncRNA (ENSECAG00000045125.1)". Lineage: Eukaryota; Metazoa; Chordata; Mammalia; Perissodactyla; Equidae. The record is from RNAcentral.
AGAGGAAGAGAGAGAGACAGAUCUCUUCUCUCUCUCCACACAGUGCACUGAGGAAAGGCCAUGUGAGGACAUAGCACGAAGUUGAUCACUUGCAUUCCAAGAAGAGAGAGCUCACCAGGAACUGCAUUGGCCAGCACCUUGAUCUUGGACUUCCCAUUCUCUAGAGCUUCAGUAAAGAGGAUCAGAAAUCAUUCUCAUUUACCUGAAAUGGACAAAAAUGCAUUUUCAGUUUUGCCACGAAGCUAUGUUUACUUGCCUGUCCUCUGUCAUCACAUAGUCCAAAGAGAUCUGAGCAGUCCCACAGAAUAUCACAUCGAUCCAUUACAUUGGUGACAUUAUGCUGAUUGGGAAGAAUGAGGAAGAAAGUGGCUAGUAAGCUAGAGGCCAAGCUCAUCUGUUCUGGUUCCUGUCAUUUGCAACUGAGAUUCGUAACUAAUUAAAAAAAAAGCUAACAAAAACAUGCAAGUCUUAUCUGAAUAAAACUACAAUACUUCAUAUUAUGUUCUAGAAGAAGACCUGAAUAAAUGGAAAGAUAUAACAAGCGAGCAUCCA